ACAAGGUCUCCGUAGGUGAACCUGCGGAGGGAUCAUUACAGAGACUCUGCCCUUUGGGUAGACCUCCCACCCUGUGUCGUUAUACCUUUGUUGCUUUGGCGGGCCGCGGGGCUCCGGCCCUGCCCCUGGCUCCGGCUAGGGCGCGCCCGCCAGAGGACUCGAAAACCUGAAUGUUAGUGUCGUCUGAGUACUAUAUAAUAGUUAAAACUUUCAACAACGGAUCUCUUGGUUCUGGCAUCGAUGAAGAACGCAGCGAAAUGCGAUAAGUAAUGUGAAUUGCAGAAUUCAGUGAAUCAUCGAAUCUUUGAACGCACAUUGCGCCCCUUGGUAUUCCGGGGGGCAUGCCUGUUCGAGCGUCAUUACAACCCUCAAGCUCAGCUUGGUCUUGGGCGUCACCGGUCCCCGGUGUGCCUUAAAAUCAGUGGCGGCGCCGUCUGGCUCUAAGCGUAGUACAUACUCUCGCUACAGACGCCCGGCGGAUGCUGGCCAGCAACCCCCAAUCUAUCAAGGUUGACCUCGGAUCAGGUAGGGAUACCCGCUGAACUUAAGCAUAUCAAUA
This 559-nucleotide ribosomal RNA is filed under the name Pezicula californiae. RNAcentral's name for it is "eukaryotic LSU rRNA". The stretch from base 206 to 359 matches the Rfam family "5.8S ribosomal RNA". Lineage: Eukaryota; Fungi; Ascomycota; Leotiomycetes; Helotiales; Dermateaceae. The record is from RNAcentral.